UUUAGGGAGGAAGGACUCUCUAAGAUGAACAACACACAAGAUUUACAUGAAGUGACCUACUUCCUGGACUGGCCACUUUAAGAAAAAUGAAAAUAUGGUUAUGUCACUGUUGAAUCUUAUCUUUCUUGUCUGUAAAAUUACAAUUAUUUGUCUUUAAUUGUGAAAUUAGCAAUUGGCAAGUAUAUCCCACCUAUGACAUUGCUGGAUGAGCCUUCCUUCACAGCAACCUUUAAUAUUUAUAAGUAUUAAAAUAUUAUGCUUUUAUGUCAAAUUACAUCAAUGUGAUGCAUCAAAAAAUAAUUUGCUUAAAUACAAAGCUCAGAAACACAGCCACACUUUUGACCUUCACUGCAGCUCCCUACAGUUUUAAUGCAUCGGUUUUAUGAAGGCAACUCGUUUCCAUCUCUGGCGUGUAACUUGAGCGCUUUGUGUCAUCCCACUUUUGGAGUAAAGUGCCUAGUCAAACUAAAGGUCCUAUGACUAGAUUUUGCUAUUUCACAAUUCACAGAAAUGCUUG
This is a long non-coding RNA of Erpetoichthys calabaricus (reedfish), 517 nucleotides long. RefSeq lists it as uncharacterized. Lineage: Eukaryota; Metazoa; Chordata; Cladistia; Polypteriformes; Polypteridae. The transcript is spliced from 2 exons. The record is from RefSeq and is a predicted model, not a curated record.